Pseudophryne corroboree (corroboree frog) is the source of this 3233-nucleotide long non-coding RNA. RefSeq lists it as uncharacterized. NCBI's taxonomy places the organism in Eukaryota, Metazoa, Chordata, Amphibia, Anura, Myobatrachidae. The transcript is spliced from 5 exons. The record is from RefSeq and is a predicted model, not a curated record.
UGACACUGUGCAGUGCACUACAACGCAUUUCUGUCAUUUCACAGGCAGAUAAUUCCCAACAGUCUCUGCAGCUGCUCAAGAGGUCAGGAGGUGGUCACAUGACCAAUGUCAGGUGUGACAGUUGGUGAAGGUUAGGCGGACAUCUUAGGGAGAGCACGGUGGCUGGACUGGCGUGAGGAGGUGCUGCGCAGGUUAGCUGUAAAGGCCACUGUCCCCGUGACCGGAGUUAGAGAAAUGGCAACCAGAGAGCAGUGAGAGCCUCCCGCAGCAUAUCUACAGCUUCCAGUGAUCGCAGCUGACAUGGGAGUGUGGUGAUGUAGCUCCCAUCCUCUAUAGGUGCAGACUGGAGGCAGUUCCCAGCCUGAGAAAGGGGACGGUGCGUCAGUGAACACAGUGAACAGGAGCUGACAGAACUCCAACACCAAGCCCUCUGACUACACGGAAUAAGCUGCCUUUCUUCUUGUGUGAUUUCUCCGCUAUUACUUUUAGCAUACCCAGAUUCAGUGAUUAAUCUCAGGAGAUUGACUAUCUAGAGAAAGUGCACUAUAUAUACUUAUAUGAACAUUACAGAGGUUACAAAGGGGCCCCAAUUAAAAGUGCAAGAACCAAAAAUCCUUAUUCCAUCACUUGGUCGCCAGAAAAUACAAGGAGAAAAUAGGACUGGGCUGCAGUGAGAAAAUGGUGGUGAAAAGGACUUCAAAGAGUUAGUAGAAGCCCUCAAUCUUGGACAGAGAGCAGGAGAGUGGAGGAUUGUGAGCAGGGGAGAAAAUAGGACUGGGCUGCAGUGAGAAAAUGGUGGUGAAAAGGACUUCAAAGAGUUAGUAGAAGCCCUCAAUCUUGGACAGAGAGCAGGAGAGUGGAGGAUUGUGAGCAGGGUGAGCAAGAGAGCCGAGUGGACAGGAAAAAAGGGGUUAAAAAAUGGACAAAAAGGAGGAGUUGAAGAAGAUUGGGACUGGUGUGGAGAGCAGAUCUGCAUACAGUGACUCCUGGGCAGUGGUUGCUAAAUACUACAGAAUUGACCCUUUGAGAUUACCUCCUCUUGUGCUGGGCCCAAUAGAGUGGAUAGCCCUAUGUGCAGUACUUGGUCUGGGAGAUCACAGUACUCUGUAAAGCUGGCCCCAGACAUAGUGAGGAGGGGCCGAGGAGGAUGCAACAGUCAGCCCCAUAGGUGGUGCUAGGUGCGGGAGGGGCAAGCCAGGACAUUUACGACUAUUCAGUAACAGUUGCAGUUUUGAUAAUUUAGCAAAACUGCAACUGCUGACGAUCGCAUGCUGGGGGCCACCCAGCACAGGGCAAGGCCACCCAUCAUGCUAAUGGGCACCAGAGAUGUGGUCACAAUUCAACUGCGAUCACAUUGCUGAAUAAGGGAAACCCCCUUGCGAAGGCAGUCGGGCUGCCCCCAUUUUCCCUGUUGCAGCAGAUGAGUGUGAUGUUACGUCUUCAUCCUCGAAAAUGGCCUGGACCCACCCCCCGUUUCUGAUGCCACGCACCUGUGAUGCUGCGUCACUGCCCCGCAAAUGCCUCUGGCUGUCAAUCAGGCAGAGGCAUUUGCAUCAAUGCGAUUUCAUUGCCCUGACCGUGCACAUGCGGAGCAGGCCCUGCGCGUGCGCACUGAGCAGGAAAUCGGCAGUAUGUGAUAACAUCUCUGAUGUGAUUCAUACUGAAUAAGGCCCUUAAUCCCCAGACUGCAGCACUGAAUGAAAGUCUGCAGCCUGUACAGAGGAUUGUUUGAAGGUGACACCCUGGGACAGAGUUACAGACAUUUCUGACAGGACAGGCAGCCCCGUAGAGAAGAAAAAGGUUUAGGUCUGUGAGUGCUCGUCCGGAACCUUAGUUGUGUGCCAAGUUGCUGCAGUACCCAAAGAUCUGUUCUGAGGUGACACAGUAACACACUGCAAUCAGAGGAGAGACCCUAUGAUGCAGUUCUCUAUCCUGUCAUAUACAAAAAUGUCUGCCUAUGCAAUUUCCUCAAGUCAUCUCAAACAUGCUAGCUUCUCUCUUCUUCAGGAGCAUCCAGAUUGGAGGUGGUAGCAUUAACCAAUCAGCAAUUAUUAGGGCAACUGUACUACAGUAACCCUUUGUUGCCCAGAGCAUCGUUGACUUGUUAAAUAUAGAGAACCAUCUUUUAUUGAAAUAGCUGCUUGACAAUAUACUUAUCAUUAAAACUAAGGAUAGGGUGGCUGUUUAAAUGAUAGUGUACAGUACUGACAUCAAUAUACAGCUGGAUAAAUUAUCCCUAUUUGAGAAUAGAGCUAUCACUGAUUGUUGUUGACACAAAAUUAAGCAACAGUAUGGGUCCAAUUCAUAAUAGGAUAACCAUCUGAAUCCCUUACUACAGACCACGAAUAAUCAGCUUCUAAAUUUGAAACCCAGGUUUCUAAUAAUAAUAAAAAAAAAAAAGGUGCAGUCCCGAGACUAUGGCCAUAUAUAACAAACUGAAGUCAGGACUAUUAGAUGAAGUGCUAUGUUUAAGAUUAAAUUGUAUGUGUGCUGUAUGUGUGGGUUGGUUGGGGGUCUUUUAAGUAUUUAUUAGGAUUGUUCACCAAGAAGUGUCAGAGAGUAAGAUUACCUAGAUACUAUGACGUAGAUGUAUUAUCCUGCACGCUCCAUUCGUUAUUUGUGUGGACCCGCUUUACCUCCAGAUCACUGUGAAGUGGGUCCACAUACCGGAACAUAAUGAUGGUGGCACAUAGCGCCCCCCGCAUUUGCCAGUAAUUAAUGCUAUCUUACAUGGGGUAGAAGCGGUAUCAGUCCACGCUAUGUGCGCUGAUAGCGCUUCUCCCCCAUAUCGCCUUGUCUUACAUCUAACCCCUAUAUUACUAUUUAAGAAGGUUCUAAAGCUGCCUACGCAUCAGAACGAUGUGUACCCAGCCGAUAUGCCGGCUAACGAGCCAUUUUGUAUCCAUGGUACACAUCAGAAUGAUGGAAUGAAGUCUGGAAUGAUCACUGUUCCGUCCUUCAUUAAUAUGCAUUAGGUCACAUGCAAUAUCUUCCAGCGGCCUGGUAUCCUGCUGGGUAUUUAGAGAUAUAAUUUAAUUGUGCCAUAGGCUGGAAAGUUUUAUCACCAAGUUUUAUCUAGGAAUUUAUUGUGUAAAAAAAUAAUUACUAAGGUAGUAUUAAAGAGUUCAUUUCAUGUAUUUUAAUAUUUUAAUACCAUGAGAACAAAAGUGAAGUGUUCCUGUCAAAUAAAUUGUACAGAGUUUUAAAAUUGUAUAGUUAUUGAGUCCCUUCCU